UACUUGGAGGGGAGGGUACUACGGGGCUCAGGCAGUCCAGAGAGGUAGCCAGCAUGAGCCUCUAAAUGUAGGCAAAUUAUUCUGAGAUUCUGAAAGGAGUUGAUAGAAAUAUCACAGCACUGCUAUAAAUUUGAUUAUUCAAAGACUCAGGCAAGCUGUAAUUGUUUCCUCAGAUACUACCAUAGAGACUGAUAUAGACAAGGAUAUAAAGCAACAUUCUGCCGUUCCUGGAAGAGACUGCUUUGAGAGGACUGCCCUCUGGUUUCAUGGCUGAGGGAUCCUAAUGAAACCCAUCACUGCAUUUGCAGGCAGUAUAAUAG
RNAcentral lists this long non-coding RNA (320 nucleotides) under Canis lupus familiaris (dog). RNAcentral's name for it is "lncRNA (ENSCAFG00030003821.1)". Lineage: Eukaryota; Metazoa; Chordata; Mammalia; Carnivora; Canidae. The record is from RNAcentral.